UUGAAAUAAAAACACGGUUGGAGAUUUGAGCUGGCCAUCCUGAGGAUGGCAUGUGCACAUCUCUUACUGUUUAUUAUCCCACCUGUGCAUGAUUUGUAGGCUGCCUAUUAGGUGUGUCUAUGUUUUAUAUAUACACAUGUAUUGUCUGUAGAAUGUUGGUAAAAAAAAAUAUUA
RNAcentral lists this unclassified non-coding RNA (174 nucleotides) under uncultured Amanita. RNAcentral describes it as "sequence contains ITS1". The record is from RNAcentral. Lineage: Eukaryota; Fungi; Basidiomycota; Agaricomycetes; Agaricales; Amanitaceae.